AUUAAUUCGAUGCAACGCGAAGAACCUUACCAAGGCUUGACAUGCAGGGAAAACUCACAGAGAUGUGAGGUCCGCAAGGGUCCUGCGCAGGUGGUGCAUGGUUGUCGUCAGCUCGUGUCGUGAGAUGUUGGGUUAAGUCCCGCAACGAGCGCAACCCUCGUCUUAUGUUGCCAGCGGGUCAUGCCGGGGACUCAUAAGAGACUGCCGGGGUCAACUCGGAGGAAGGUGGGGAUGACGUCAAAUCAUCAUGCCCCUUAUGUCUUGGGCUUCACGCAUGCUACAAUGGCUGGUACAAAGGGCUGCGAGACCGCAAGGUGGAGCGAAUCCCAAAAAGCCAGUCUCAGUUCGGAUUGGGGUCUGCAACUCGACCCCAUGAAGUCGGAGUCGCUAGUAAUCGCAGAUCAGCAACGCUG
Molecule: ribosomal RNA, 413 nt
Filed under: uncultured bacterium
Lineage: Bacteria
Description: bacterial SSU rRNA
Rfam family: Bacterial small subunit ribosomal RNA
Source: RNAcentral